UUACAGCCUGGCCCUAGCACUGGCUGCCCUGUGGCGCCUCAGUCCUGCCCAGGCCCUUGCUCCUGGCUCCAAUGCCAUGUAUGAGUUGGACAUGGUGAGCUUCCCAGCUGACUAUGCUGCAGGUUCAGCAGUGGGGUCCUGGCUGGGGUCUGGGCCCACCCCCCAUGCCUCCAGGGCAGCUGGGGACCCUGAGCCUUACCGGCUGGGCCACCUCCCGCAGGUACUGGGCGCAGUCCCGGUGUCCAUGGUACUCCGCCAGGUCUGCCGCCGUGUAACCAUCUUCAUCCCGCAGGGAGGGGUCCACGUGGUGGGAGACUAGGGUCUGGCAGCACUGCAGUGAGGAGGGCACACAUGUGACCCACCACGACACAAACCAGGUGCCCAUGGGACUGGCCCUGUGCGGGCCGCUCCCCUGCCCCAUGGCGCAGGCUGCCCUGAUGCCCUUCCCAGCAGGGGCAGGACUUGAAUCUGGGCCGUGGGGUGCCAGAGACCUGCCUAGGAGCCCCCGAGCCUCAUCCCACAGCCACCCUGUCCUGGCCCAGACAGUACCAGGCACUGCUUAUGAAGCAGUGCUGAGCUGACAGGCAUCAGGGUGCCCCGUCCAGACCCCUCACAGCUGCCAUGGCCCAAGUGUCAAAUGCAGAACCAGUUUCCAUGUUUGCCACCCUUGGAGGUGUGGAUCAAUGCACGUGAAGAGACGAGGCUCAGAGAGACAAGCAACCGGCCCCUGCCCCAGGGACUCAGGGCUACUUCCUGCCACAGCCCCACUCUCCGUGGGACCAUCCUCCUGGCCCAAUGAGGUUCCCCCCUAGUGCCUGGAGCACCAGCUCAUGCCUGACCAAGCCGCUCACCACCUUUGCCAGCCACACUGCAUGCUCCUACCCAGCCAACUUGGGGCCAGGACCCUCCUGUCUCCUUGUACCUGAUGGGCUCUUGUGAUGGGAAUGGGGAGGAAGAGGGGAGGGAAGGAAGCUGGGGAGGGAGUCCACAGGACUGGAAGGCUAGAGGACAUCUUGGCCUGUGAAGGAUUCAGUUGGAAGAGGGACGGGGGACCUCAAGAAUGAAUUCUGUACUUUAUUCUGUAAACAUUUCUGUGUCUCUUUUGUAGUACCAGGGAAACACAAAAACGAACUCGAGUUAGGCGAACGCUGUGUUCACAAAACUGUGCCUUUGACCCAAAUGUAUCUCUGAGAUAGACCAGCUGGGCCUCAGCAUCUUUGGGUGACACUGAAUUGAACUAAGUAAGAAGUUGUGAGACCCUUGGCCGGGCGCAGUGGCUCAUGCCCGUAAUCCCAGCACUUGAGGAGGCCAAGGCGGGUGGAUCACCUGAAGUCAGGAGUUCCAGACCAGCCUGACCAACAUGGUGAAACCCUGUUUCUACUAAAUACAAAAAAUUAGCCAGGCGUGGUGGCGGGCGCCUCUAAUCCCAGCUACUUAGGAGGCUGAGGCAGGAGAAUUGCUUUAAGCCAAGAGGCGGAGGUUGCAGUGAGCCAAGGUGGCACCACUGCACUCCAGCCUGGGCAACAACAGUGAAACUCCACCUCAAACAAGUUGUGAGACCCCAAAGGAAUUUUCAGCUCCUCUCUGGACUGCAGUGCCUCACCUAUAAAAGGUGCAAUUAGUGUUCAUUCUCUACAGAUAAAUACAGGUUCAGCAUGCAUGUGGAGCGGCGGGUGUGCCAUGCCGUGAGUAAAUACAACGUGACGCUGUCGUGUGUGGCAGGGGGCCUGGCAGCGAAGUCCAGUGGCCUUGAGCUCAUCUGGCUCUGUGACUUGCUGGUCAGAGAACUUGGCCAGCUAACUGGGCCUGUCUGUAAAGUAAGGACACCUGCAUUGAUCUAUGGUCGGCACCACCAGCCUCCCUUGCCCCGGCCCCUACCGACACUCACCUGCGCAGCUAGCAGGUCAGCUUGAGACCUCGAGGGCGAGUGCCUUGUCCUGGGGGAAUCCUCUGGAGGGCUUCCUUCCCCUCCCUCCUCUGCCCUGAGUUCCAUGGCCUCCAAGGUGGCCACAGCCUGAGGAGGCCACAGCGCCACCAGGGGAAGGUGGACAAAAAGAUAGAGCCCUGCUCCCUGGAAUCCCUGCAGGUCCGAAAGACCAGUGCCAGAACCGCCGCAAGAUCAGCUCCAGAACCGCCACAAGACCAGAGCCAGAACCACCGCAAGACCGGAGCCAGAACCGCCGCAAGACCAGCGCCAGAACCGCAGAGCCACAGGGCUUGUCACUGCCUGAGGAUGAUGACCCUGCGCCUCUAAGCUGCAGACUGGGGUGUCUGCUCACGCACUGCCUGCCUUCCUGGGUGCCGUGCUGCCCUCCAGAGAGUAAGCAGCUCAGCCCGGGGGCCGCCGGCUCUGGCACAAAUAUGCAACCCUGGUCGUGGUGCGAAAGCUGCCACCCAUAGCGUGGCCGGGUGCCCACAAGGCUUUAUUUGUGGGCACUGACAUUUUAACUUCAGAUGAGUUUCAUGUGUCAUGAGAUGUGAUUCUUUUUCCUUUUCCCCAUUUAAAAAGGGAAAAACUAUUUUGAGCUUGUGGGGCCACACAAAAUCAGGCGUGCGCACACCCCUUCCCCGGGGGCUGCUGGGAGGCUUGAACCAGAUAACGCCUGAAGGCUCCUGGAGGCCCAGAAGGGCUGAGCCAGUGGCUGGUGUGGCUGAGGAAGCAGGAAGCAUUUGUCAGAUGUGCAAGGACACCGGGGCUGGGGAGGCUGGGGCAGGUCGCUGAAGCCAGUCGCUGGAGAGAGGCACUGCUCCCGGAGGCUCUGGGCUGGGGGAAUGGCAAAGGUUUGCCAGGGCGCGGUGGGUGUGUGGGUGGGUGGAGGCGGAGCGUCCCCAAGGAGCUGUUGCUGGGAAGAGGAGGCCAGGAUGCGGAGGAGGGGAGUUACGGGGUCUGCAGGAGUAUGAGGGGUGUCACGGCAGAGGAAGGGGGACAAGUGUCAGACCUGGCCCCAAAUGGUGCUGGGGAGAGAGGGCAAAGCCCUGAUAGGAACAGAGCCAUGGGGAGGAGGAAGGGAACCUCUCCCCCAGAGUGACGGACCCCAUCACCGCUGGGAUUGUCAGCAGAGGGUGGGUAGUGACAGACAGAACUCUGUCUGGAAGUCUGUGCAGAGGCCACAGCAGUGGAAAAGCAGGUGAGCAGAUGGAUCCACUCCAGGGAGGAGAGAACCAGGUGGGUCAGACCAACCCACUGCCCAAGGACGUGAAACACGGAUUCACUGUAAAAGUCACCUGCUGACAGCCUCAGUAAGGUAACGCAGAAGUCAGGAGUGACACGGCCACACUCAGGAGAAAAGGAAAGCCUGGGGGGUGAGGGGUGUCGGGGAGCCCAGCACUCAGAACUGCUCUUGCCCUGAGCCUGGGCUGACGACGGAAGAACAGUUAUAUGAUGUGCCGUCCUCCCGCAGCCUCAGGGGACCAGGGAGGCCAGGAACCGUGCGGGUUCCAUCAGGGGUGGGGGCUCUGGUUGACCACCUCCCGAUGUGGCCAAGGGCUCCACCCUCAGAGAAAAUGGAAGCCAGACGCCAGCCAGGCCCCUGGUUCCUGUCACGGAGGUGGUCCUGGGAACUUCCUGCCUGGAAUGCGGAUUAAGAUGAUCCUAGGCCCACAUGUGCCCAGCAAAGGCAAAUAAGAUAUUGCUAAGGCCUCCAGUUAUGCCUACGCUUCAUUUUUCAUGUCAGCAUAUGUCAACAAAAAUAAAAAUACAAGGAAAUAAAAUACCAUGAACAAGAACCAGAAGACCCAGCCCACAAAGAAAUAGAAAUAAAGCUCUGAGAACUAACAGACAAAAAACAACUGUGCUUACUACUUUUAAAUAAAGAAAAAUCCAGGCAGCCAGAUCACAUCUCCUCAAAAUAACAGAGUAAAAAUAAACCCCUAAACAUUAGUAAUUAUACUGACUAUAGAUGGUCUAAAUGCACCAAUAGGUAAAGACUGUCAGGCUGAUGAAAAAAAUUAAACAUGACUGCAUAUGGUUAACCAGAGGUACUGGCAAACAUAAGGAUUCAGAAGGCCGAAAGCAAAGUAUGAAUAAGCUUCACCAUCAAAUAAGUAUAGAAAGAAAAGUCAUGUGUAUACAUAUAUCAGAUAAAACAGACUAGAUAUGGGGUUCAAAAUAUAUAAAACAAACGGUGACAGGAUUGUAGGGAAACACAGACAAAUCCAGAAUAAUAGCCAGGAAUGUUCACACAAUUCUCUCGAUCCACUUGAAAUCCAGUAAACUAAAAUGUGUACCUAUGGAGAUCUGAAGAACACAAUGACAUAAUGGACAUGUAGCGAACAGUCUGCAAACUCUACAGUCUUUCCAAGAACAUAUGCAACGUUGAUAAAAAUUGACCAUACACGGGGCAAUAAAGUAACUUAUCAAAAAAUCAAAGGAUUGAAAUGACCAGAGCAUAUUUUCUGACCACAAUGCAAUUUGGACAGAAAUUAAUAACAAAUAGAUAACUAGAAGGAACACCUUCGUAUUUGGAAAUUAAGAAACAUAAUUCCAAGGAAUCCCUAGAGCAAAUAAGAAUCAAAAUGGGAAUUAGAAAAUAUUUUUUAACUGAACAAUUAUCAAACAGUGGGAUACAGCUAAAGCAGUACUUAGAGGAAAAUUUAUAGCCUUCAAUAAAUAUAUUAGAAAAGAAAAAAGGUUGAAAAGUAAGUGAGGUAGGCACCCAUCUCAGUAAUUUAGGAAAGAAAGUAAUAACAAAGAUAAAUGCAGAAAUUAAUGAAAUAAAAAACAAACAUACAUUGGAGACAAUUAAUGCUUUUUGGAGGACCUUGAAUAAGUUAAAACCUGAUCGUUGGAAAAACUACUGACUAACAUCUAGUGAGGCUGAUUGAGACAAAAAAAGAAACACAAAAAUACCCAAUAUCAGGAAUUAAAAGUGGGGAAAUUACUACAUACAGACAAUAAAGGAUCAUGAGGAUAUUAAAAAUAACUUCAUGCUAAUACACUUAACAACUUAGACAAAUUUGAUUCCUAGAACAUUUCUAGGAAAUAAAUCCUAGAAAAAUAUAAUUUGCUGAAACCAACACAUAAAAAAUAGAAAGCCCUAGUAGUUCUAUAAUUAAAUAAAUUGAAUUAGUAAUAAAAAACCUUCCCUCAAAGAAACAGCCAGAUCCAGAGGAUUUCACGAGUGAAUUCCACAAAACCUUUAAAGAAAAAAAUAAGUCUAAUAUAACCAAAAUGUCUCAAAAAAUAGGAAAAGAGGAAACACUCCCUAAUUCAUAGCAUAUUUUGAUACCAAAAUCUAACAAGGAUAAAACAAAAAAAGGACAUUCCAUGCCAAUUUUACUCAAGAAUAUAAGGCCAAAAAUCCUAAACAAAAUGUUAGCAAAUUGAAUUCAGCUAUAUUUAAAAGGAAUAAUAUGUCAUGUUGAAUUUAUUCCAGGAAUGAAAGGUUGGUGUAACAUUUUAAAGUAAUCAGGGUAGAUCCAGGUAUUCUAAUGCUGGGUAUACAUAUCCAAAAGAUUUGAAGGCUGGAUCUCAGAGAUAUUUACACACCCCUGUUCAUGGUAGCAUGAUUCACAAUAGUCAAAAGGCAGAAGAACCCAAAUGUCCAUUAGCAGAUGACUAGAGAAAGAAAAUGUGGUAUAUACAUACAAUGGAAUAUUAUUUAGCUAUAAAAAGGAAAUUCUGAUGCGUUACAACAGGGAUGAACCUUGAGGACAUUAUGCUAAGUGAACUAAGCCAGAGACAAACGGAUAAAUACUGUACAAUUCCACUUAUAUGAGGCAUCCUAAGUCAUCAAGUUCAUAAAAAACAGAAAGUAGGAUGUUGCUGGCCAGGGGCUGGGAGAUAAGGGAGACGGAGAAUUGCUGUCUGAUGGCCAUAGCGUCUCAGUUUUGCAAAAUGAAAAAGUUGUGGAAAUUCUGCUGCACGACAACGUGAACAGACUUAGCGCUGCUGAAGUGUGUGCUCGAAAAUGGCUAAGAUGGUAAAUUUUAUGUUACGUAUUUUUUAAUCACAAUUUAACAAUUAAAAAAAUAAUUAGUGUAAUUCACACCAUUCAAAGGAUAACUAGGCCGGGCACGGUAGCUCAUGCCUGUAAUCCCAGCACUUUGGGAGGCCGAGGUGGGCGGAUCAUUUGAGGUCAGGAAUUCAAGACCAGCCUGGCCAACAUGGUGAAACCCCGUCUCUACUAAAAAUACAAAAAUUAGCCAGGUGUGGUGGUGCGUGCCUGUAAUCCCAGCUACUCAGGAGGCUGAGGCAGAGGUUGCAGUGAGCAGAGAUCGAGCCUCUGCACUCCAGCCUGGGCGACAGAGUGAGACUCCGUCUCAAAAAAAAAAAAAAAAAAAAAGAAUAACUAAUGUGAUAUACUGAAACACAAAACCUAUUAAAAGUAACCAUCAUUCCUCUUUAGAGGCUGCUGGAGGAUCAACUCAUUGUUUUGACAUUUUAUUUUUAAAUGGGAAAAAGCUGUCAGAGCCAAGAGGCAUCUGAGGAGACUUGAUAAUUAAAUAUCAUAUGGCAUCCUAAAUGGGAUCCUGGGACAGAAAAGGGACACUCGGUAUCAUAUGGCAACCUAAAUGGGAUCCUGGGACAGGAAAGGGAAACUCGGUAACAUAUGGCAUCCUAAAUGGGAUCCUGGGACAGGAAAGGGACACUCGGUAUCAUAUGGCAUCCUAAAUGGGAUCCUGGGACAGAAAAGGGACACUCGGUAACAUAUGGCAUCCUAAAUGGGAUCCUGGGACAGAAAAGGGACACUCGGUAACAUAUGGCACCCUAAAUGGGAUCCUGGGGACAGAAAAGGGACACUCGGUAACAUAUGGCACCCUAAAUGGGAUCCUGGGACAGAAAAGGGACACUCGGUAACAUAUGGCACCCUAAAUGGGAUCCUGGGACAGAAAAGGGACACUCGGUAACAUAUGGCACCCUAAAUGGGAUCCUGGGACAGAAAAGGGACACUCGGUAACAUAUGGCACCUUAAAUGGGAUCCUGGGACAGAAAAGGGACACUCGGUAACGUGUGGCAUCCUAAAUGGGAUCCUGGGACAGAAAAGGGACACUCGGUAACGUGUGGCAUCCUAAAUGGGAUCCUGGGACAGAAAAGGGGCACUCGGUAACGUGUGGCAUCCUAAAUGGGAUCCUGGGACAGAAAAGGGACCCUCGGUAACGUGUGGCAUCCUAAAUGGGAUCCUGGGACAGAAAAGGGACACUCGGUAACGUAUGGCAUCCUAAAUGGGAUCCUGGGACAGAAAAGGGACACUCGGUAACGUAUGGCAUCCUAAAUGGGAUCCUGGGAUAGAAAAGGGACAUUCGGUAAAAGCUAAGGGCAUCUGAAUGAAGUGUGGGCUCUAGUUAGUAACACUGUGCUAGUUUGGGUUCACUAAUUGUGACAAAUGUACUGUACUAACAUAAGUUGUCAAGAAUGGAGGAAAAGGCUGGGCAUAGUGGCUCACACCUGUCAUCCCAGCACUUUGGAAGGCUGAGGUGGGAGGAUUGCUUGAGCCCAGAAGUUUGAGGCCUGCCUGGGCUCAGCACAGUGAGACUCCCAUCUCUACAAAAUUUUUUUAAAAAAUUAGCUGGGCGUGGUGGCGUGCGCCUAUAGUCCCAGCUACUCAGGAGGCUGAGGCAGGAGGAUUGCUUGAGCCUAGGAGUUAGAGGUUGCACACGGUGAUGACACGCUGUUGUGUGUUUUGAAUUCCACAGUAAGAAAUUUAAAAGGGAAGAAGUCUCUGUUUUGAGGCUUGAGUAAUUUUCUUUUUACAGAGGGAAGCUGAGGAGCCAGAGGAGUCAGCUGAUUUAUUAAACUUCUUGGGCUGCUAUCAAAUAUUUCAUUUGAAAGAAGAUUUUGCUGCUUUAAAAAAGCUUAAAAACCCCUGGCCAGGGGCCACUUACCCCUUCUGAGCCGAGUCUCCUGGGGCCUGCCUGAGCCACUCAGCAGAGCUCCUCCUGCCACCAGCCACCUGUCAGGGACAUGCCUCCCAGGGCCUGCGGGUCACCCCUCCCCCCACUUCCUAUCUCUGUCUAGGUUGGGGACAGAGACUGGGGAGACAGAGCUGGGUUGUGCAGAGCUGAGUGGACGGGGGAUGGUGAGAGGAAGGGCGGUAGCUGGGGGGCCUCAGAGAAAGAUGCUUUCAGCAGCGCUGCCGGGAGGGGGGAUUGGGUUUCCUCUGCAUUCUGCCAAAGGCUCAGCUCUGCAGGGAAUGCGGUGCCUUCCGAUGGCUCUGCGGCUGCACCGUGUGUGAUUGUUUCAAUGGCACUGCUGAGACUGGGUGACCCGGGGCCCCAGGAAGACCUUGGGUUCUAGCUGGGAGCAGUUGUCUAGACUUGCAGACCCAGAAUGCGAUGGUUGGUUGCACUUCCACUUAAAAUCCCCCCAGACUAGCCUUGCAGAGGCCUGGAGCACGCUGCUGGCUCCCGACUGAGCAGCCUGGGCCCAGGAGGCUUUGGAAGAACGUGGGGAACCAGGAGACUUCAUGGAGGUGAACAGACCCGACACUGCUCAGGACCGGAUGGGGCUGGGGAGAAGUAAACUGUGUGCAUUCUCCUGAGAUGGGGCCUUGCCUUUAGAUGAGGUCGACAUCGGGUGGGCACCCGGGCAGGGCCAGCAGCUGAUGGCUGCACCCACCCUCAAAGGCUGGGUGUGGUUCUGAUGUUGUUGAACAUUUGAAUACCAUCCCUGCCUACGUGGGGUUUUUGGAUGUCGUGUCCUUGAGGCUGGGCCAUGUGAGCCCCCAAGAUUUAUCUGGGUAAUAGCAAAGGGGCUGACAUCACACCCCUGCCACAGCUCUACUCGCAGGCUGCUCACAGCAGAGGGUCCGCCCCAAGGGCUGUUCUGAGAAGACUGUCACCAAGACCAAGCCCUGACCAGGCACGAGGGAGUUUCUGCGCGAAGGGAGGGAGGAUGGUACGCAGGACGAGAGCAUAGAGCUUGGAUCUUGCCACUUGACCCUGGGAUCUUGACCUUGGGCAAGUGACAGUGCCACUUAGAGCCUCAGUUUACCUAUCUGUAAAAGAGGGUCAUCACUCUUACAGGGUUGCUGUGAGGGUCAGUGACACAGCACUGGGCAUGGCUGGCACUUGUGACUGCUCACCCUGUCUCCCUCACGCCCACCUUACCUCCAUCUGCCCGUUCUCUGCUGCGUCGUGGAGGGGGGUCCCACCCCAGGAGUCUCUCAGGAUGGGGGUACCCAUGAGCAGGAGUCGGUCUAGAAUGGGCGUGUGGCCGCCUCGGGCUGCAAAGUGCAGGGCCGUGGCCCCCUCAUUGUCCCGUGCCGUGAGUCCGAUGUCGGUGAAUGUGACCUGGGGAAGGAGGGGCAGAGGGAGCAGCCAUCCUCCCAGGGAGGAGGCACACAGAGUGGGAGGGGCUUGGAGCAGAAGUGAAAGUGGACUCUGGCUGUACCUCUCGGGGCACAGGGUACAACCUCAGGAAACCCCGGACAGGGCUGGCUGAGCACGUGCGUCCCCGUCACCCUGGGGCAGCAGGACCUCUGGGGUCCAGGUGGGGGUGAAGUGAGCGCAGUAGCUUAAUUUGCAGACACCAUGGUCCCAAAUCUGAAAGCAAACAUCAUGGCAAAUGAAAACACCUAGGGAAGAGUAAACAUGUGUUUGCUAUGAAGGAAGGAGAGGAGAGAAGGAAGGGAGGGAGGGGCGGGGAGGGAAGAACUUCAUUUGGCCCGAGGGUGGCGCUGCCUCGUUGGGCAUUUGCACUGAGCCCCUUUGCUGGAGCAGCGGGUCCUGUGGCCUCCCUCCAGGGCCUGGAUUCGAGCCAGGCAAUGAGGUUUGGGGCCCUGACCUGCCGGCCACCACCGCUGGAGCGACUUGAGGCCAGCCCUGCCUCUGGGGCCUCAUCUGCCUUCUGAAGGGCCCCUGCUGUGGUCCACAGCACCAGCCAGGUGACAGUCCUCUACACUGACUUGCGGAAACCUGUGCAGCUGGGACAGACAUGGGGCCUGGGCCUGCCAGUGGGACGCGGGGGUCUCCUAGGACAGCCUGCCUUCCUGACAGACGGGUGAUGGGCGUGCUGGCUCCCCGCCUUCACCCUCCUUCCUGCCUUGAGUGUGCCCGCUUUCCCCACUGGGGAGGCCACGAGAACAGCAGAGCCGCCAGCAGCCCGUCGCCUUCGGUGUGAGUGCCUCCUAGCGCAGCCAGGGCGCUCCUGACUGAUCAGUACUCAGAAGUGUCUGUUGGGCAAAGCACAAUGAGCUGGAAACAGAGACAGGGACAGGGCUGCCGUGGGGCUCCUUCGCAUCUGGAGUGGCCUCUCUGGCCCUGAGACCCCGAGGCCUGCCCGCUUUCUCCCCAGGAAGGCCGCUCAUGCCUCAGCACAGUCCUAGGGGUUCAGUGGACACCCUGUUUCCCUCCCUCAGGACCCCCUGUGGUGAGCUGCUGCUGCUCUGCCCACUGUGUGCAGCCGCCGCUCAUCCCAGGAGCCAGGCAUAGUUUGGGAGGCUGAGGUCUGGAGUGAAUGGGUCAGAACUGCUGGAGGGGCAAAGGGAGGAUGGCCAGGGUGGGACCCAGGUCCAGAGAGCUUCCUUUGGGGUAGGCUGCUCCAGCAGGAGGAGCUGGAGAGGCAGCCCCGGGGUGGGGAGGGGCGCACUUGCAGGCGAGGCACCGGGAGGGGCUGCAGUCUCCACGAAGGGAGGCUAGAGGCCAAUUCAGGCGGCCUUGGGGACAAAGUGGGCAGGCAGGCAGCAGCCUGAGGAUCUUGGGGCCACGGGGAGCAGGCCAGCGCCAUCCCGAGCGCCCGGGGACACGGUGAGCAGGCGGGACCCGUCCCAAGGGCCUCAGGGCCAUGGUGAGCAGCAGGCGCCAUCCUAAGGGACCAGGCCCCCUGUUCCUUCACUUGCCCACCCAUUGCUUCAGUAAACAUCUCCCGAGCCUGACUGCGUGCCAGGUGCGGGGAACGUAGCAGGUGGUGAAGUCCUGCACCCACGGAGCUCCUGGCGCCUACACGCCGGCUGGUGGAAACCACCACCAAGGCCAGGAGUCAGACACGCCGUGUGCCUGGUGCUGGUGCGCCGGUGGGGAGGAAAGCAGGAGUGAGGAUGGUCGGGGCAGGCGGCUCCCCCCAUAAACCAGCUGGGCAGGGAAGGCCCCAGGGGCAGCUGGGGAGCUGUGUGCCAGGCACAGGGUGCAGUGCAUGCAAAGGCCCCGGGGGCAGAGCCAGCCUGGCUUGCUGGAGAAGGAGCUGGACUGAGUGGGUGGGAGCCAGGAGACAGGAGGCCCCAGGCAAGCAUGGGAGGUCUGGGGGCAGGCAGCUCUCACUUCUCCAUCAGCAGCCACAGUGACCUUCCAAUAUGCCAGUCAGAUCCUACUGCUCCUGGCUCCGAGCCUUCCGUGGCUCCCCAGGACCCUCAGGAAAGAGCCCCGGUCCUCCCAGCGCCUCUGUCUGCCUUUCCUGCCCGC
Molecule: long non-coding RNA, 11337 nt
Filed under: Homo sapiens (human)
Lineage: Eukaryota; Metazoa; Chordata; Mammalia; Primates; Hominidae
Description: HSALNT0049468
Source: RNAcentral